GUGAGGGUUCUGUGAAAGGUGUGUCUUCAUUUAUUCACUGAAGGAAAAGGAAAAAAAAAACUUAAUUUGAGUUGACAAAAUGUCUUUUGUGUGUGUGUGUGUGUGUGUGUCAUAGCAGCAGUGAACAAACAAACAAACAAACACAGAGUUCAUUCAAUACAACAAUACUUUACAAACACUACAGUAAAAAGUUGUACUGUAGUAGUACCUGUUCUCCAAAUAAAAAAAAUAUUCUGAAAAAAAAAAACGUUAAUCCUGAUCAGGAGCCAAUCCCAGAAUGCACUGCAGUUUUCUAACCAUUCACACUCACACACACACACACACACACACACCUCUGAACUUUAACCUCGUUUCAUUUUCAUCUGGAUGUUUCUGGAGGAAGUCCCGUGCGUUCGGGUAAACCGCCUAAACUUUUCUAAUCUGAUCUGAACUGUCGUUCUGCAGGAACUUCAUUUAACGACAGUUUCGUUUCCAGGACGGAAGCGUUUCCUCGUACGAUGACUGCGACGUCCGUUGACACAGCUGCGCGUUAUCAGGCACUUGUUGGAAAAAAAGACCUGUGUCUUCAUGAAUUUCUUCAGUACUCUGUCUUCCCGUCCAGACCCUCGGCCCCUCAGGUCUUAUCUCGCCCUCAGGCGGCGUGGGGGACACUGAUAUGACCAGACCAAGGCCGCGGCCCACACGGACAUCUGCUGUCACGCUGUUGACGCGGCAGCAUCGUUGACAAUCUUGGCAGCAGUCAGCUAACGACACGUCCUGACAGUUCAGUGGGAGUCCAGUAACCUUGGAGUGAUCCUGUACAGAGGUACCCCAACCACUGGCUCCCAGACUGGCAGUGGGCCGGGGCUCACUUCAUAUUGGGCCGCAAUGAAAAAAAAGUCAAAGACUAUAUCAUCGUCUUAAAUCAAAGUCCAAAUCUAGCGCCUGUCAUGAGUCAAUGAGUCAUCUUCACGCACCACGCUCCACCUGAGCCGAGGGAAACAACGCGCUGCAGAGAGACCUGCAACAGAUCUGAUGUGCAGAAGACCUUCAAACCACUUCCUUUUAGGUUGGCGAGUGCACAGGAAGUCACAUGGUUUUCACAUCCUGCAAGCACUUACUCCAAGGUAGAACGUCUGCGUGAAUUAUUGAGAAUCAGAGCCGGGGCAGAUGCUGAGUUUCUUUUCCCCUUCUUUAUUCCCUAUUCACGAAAAUCAUGAUCAGGUAACACGGUGAUGCCUCUGUGGCCACGAGGGGUUUAUUGUUAGAUAGUAAAAUAUUCUUCCUGUAAAUGUGUUUGAAAAGUACAACGACCUUUGUUUGAAGAGUGAAGUCAGGGCCUGAGAUCAGUGUGAAGAUGGUGGGAUCAACUGCAUACAGAUGUAUGUUCUCCAGGACGUACAUGCAGGAAGUUCAUGUAUGUAGAAUAACAGUCAAACAGAGAUGAAAAAGAUGAAUGAAACAUAAUGAAGGUUAAAAACAUGUAGCAAGGAAAAAAAACAACAACAACAAAAAAAAACAAAACUUCUGAAUCUGCAGGUGAUUUUAGAUUCUUCACCGUCUUCACCUCUGAGACAGAAUAUAAAAAUAACCCUGACAUAUCUGGAUGAUUAAGAAAUAAAAACAAUAUUUUCUGUGUUUCCAGUUAAAACCACGUUAUAGACACGUUUAUUUUAGUAAAAGGGAACGUCUGUAAAUACCACGUUUGCAGAGUGGGGCCGAGGAAACCCGACUUCCUCCCUCACCGUCUUCUUGACUCAACUUCUCAUUUUUAUCUCUAAUUUCUAUAAUACCCUGAAUAUCUUUUGGCAGCGAGUCAAGUGCGGUUCAAGGUCGGGAUUCAGUCCAAGUCAGCAGUGAGAACCGGGGCCAACGUGACCUCGGCGUGACUCCCCGUGGACGGCGUUCACAGACGGCUCUGAAGACGUUAUCUCCUGUGAACGCUGCUGUGGCCGAGCGGAGGCCGUGUUUACUGAUGUGCGGCGCGGCGCUCCUCCGCUGCAGCAGCUGUGGGAGAAAACAGCAGUUGGCAAAACAAAAACGCUGCUGAAGAAAAAUGUGACAUCUCAUGAUCGUGAUUGUUUUUUUUUAACCAGGGAGUGAUAAGCACGUUAGGGUCAGAGGUCAAAGCACAGGAAGUGUUGGAAUUCUCUCAAGGCUGCUGCUGUGCUGACAGUCGGGGGGUUGGGGGGGGGCUACAGUCCACAGAACACUGACCAAUAAUCACAAUAUAAGGAAGAAAAAUGAAAUAUUGACAUUUAUAUUUUCAUCUCUGAAGUACAUUAAUACUAAAGUCUCCAAAUAUUUUUUAAAAACUGCCUUUUUUAAUUGGACCAAUGACAGUGGUAGAUUUUUUUUUUUAAUUACGUUAAGUGCCCAUUCAGUAUAGCAACUCAACAUCCGGUCAGACAAACUGACGUCAUCAUGUAGAACUACACACACACACACCAUCUGCUUGGGGAGUCCAGGAGGGGGCACCAAAAUAAUCAGCUCCUGGAUAUUACCAGCGGAAUGACAAUAAUUUUUUAUUUUUUUAAAUUAGUUUCCUGAAAAAGAAAAUGCGUUUUUCAUGUAACAGAAACCCCGCCCACCCCCUGAUUUGUUCUGAUUCAUGAAGGUUUGAUUGACAUGACAUAUUUUUGUAAGUGGCCACUGAAGGCACCGUCAGUGUGGAGCAGAAAAAAACAGGCAAGAGUUUACUUUAUUCAUAAAUUAAAAUUAUGAAGAUUCCACUGUUACAAUCCCAACUUAUUAUACGCGCAUUUUAACGUUAAAAGCUCGACACUACGUCACGUUAAGACGUUAACGUUAACGCAGCGUCACUGCAGAUGAACAUUGUGCGACCAAUCGUUAAAGUCGUUAAAGGGUCGGAGUAGAUAUGGUUGAUAUGGUUUAAGUUUU
This is a long non-coding RNA of Cynoglossus semilaevis (tongue sole), 2880 nucleotides long. RefSeq lists it as uncharacterized. The record is from RefSeq and is a predicted model, not a curated record. The transcript has 3 exons. Lineage: Eukaryota; Metazoa; Chordata; Actinopteri; Pleuronectiformes; Cynoglossidae.